This 59-nucleotide small RNA is filed under the name Salmonella enterica subsp. enterica serovar Saintpaul. Its description in RNAcentral is "partial RtT sRNA". It matches the Rfam family "RtT RNA", at positions 69 to 130 of the family's 130-position model. Rfam says of the family: This family represents a bacterial cis-regulatory element known as RtT RNA. The exact function of RtT is unknown although it is thought that it may be involved in changing the cellular response in relation to amino acid starvation. Lineage: Bacteria; Pseudomonadati; Pseudomonadota; Gammaproteobacteria; Enterobacterales; Enterobacteriaceae. The record is from RNAcentral.
UGCGGCAACGACCCGAAGGGCGAAGCGCGCAGCGCUGAGUCAUCCUUCCCCCACCACCA